Molecule: ribosomal RNA, 438 nt
Filed under: uncultured bacterium
Lineage: Bacteria
Description: partial 16S ribosomal RNA
Rfam family: Bacterial small subunit ribosomal RNA
Source: RNAcentral
ACGGAAGGCAGCAGUGGGGGAUAUUGCACAAUGGGCGCAAGCCUGAUGCAGCAACGCCGCGUGAGGGAAGACGGUUUUCGGAUUGUAAACCUCCGUCCCUGGUGAAGAAGAAAGUGACGGUAACCAGGGUAGGAAGCCACGGCUAACUACGUGCCAGCAGCCGCGGUAAUACGUAGGUGGCGAGCGUUGUCCGGAUUUACUGGGUGUAAAGGGAGCGCAGGCGGGACUGCAAGUUGGAUGUGAAAUACCGAGGCUUAACCUCGGAGCUGCAUCCAAAACUGCAGUUCUUGAGUGGAGUAGAGGUAGGCGGAAUUCCGAGUGUAGCGGUGAAAUGCGUAGAUAUUCGGAGGAACACCGGUGGCGAAGGCGGCCUACUGGGCUUUAACUGACGCUGAGGCUCGAAAGUGUGGGGAGCAAACAGGAUUAGAUACCCUGGUA